Molecule: transfer RNA, 73 nt
Filed under: Neotoma lepida (desert woodrat)
Lineage: Eukaryota; Metazoa; Chordata; Mammalia; Rodentia; Cricetidae
Rfam family: tRNA
About the family: Transfer RNA (tRNA) molecules are approximately 80 nucleotides in length. Their secondary structure includes four short double-helical elements and three loops (D, anti-codon, and T loops).
Source: Rfam by way of RNAcentral
UGCAACGUGGCUCAGUUGGUAGAGUGUUUGCCUAGCAUGCACGAAGACCUGGGUUCCAUCCCCGGCAUCCCAU